RNAcentral lists this long non-coding RNA (474 nucleotides) under Ananas comosus (pineapple). RNAcentral's name for it is "long non-coding RNA (ACOM_LNC003528)". Lineage: Eukaryota; Viridiplantae; Streptophyta; Magnoliopsida; Poales; Bromeliaceae. The record is from RNAcentral.
ACUGUAAUCUUUAUCAGAUGACUGUCGGAUUUUAUUUCUCACUCUACGAGUGUCAGAAUGGUAUAAAACUUUAAAUCUAACCUCAUAAAAAUAUUUCUGACAUAUCCUCAUGUUUUCAUAAUUUUCUGACACUGCAUUUUCUGCUAAUUUAUCUGCCCCGUUUCUCACAGAAAAUUCUAAAUCUUCUAUUUUCGCUCCGAUUUUAGCACAGGUCAUUUUCAAUCUAUAUUUCACUUCUCUAAAUCCAAUAAAAUAGUAUUUCAUACUAUUUUUAUUUAUUUUCACCUUUUUACUUAAAUCCGGUAUAUUACAUUCCACCGCAACCUCACCGGAACCAUUUAAAUGUACACCGUAACUUCAUAGUUUUAGAAGUCCGGUACCUUACACUACCGGACCUACACGUUCCAAAAUCUCAUACGGUCCAAUGAAACGGGAGCUCAACUUACCCCGAACCCCGAAUCUCUUGAUCCCUCU